AACGCACAUUGCGCCCAUUAGUAUUCUAGUGGGCAUGCCUGUUCGAGCGUCAUUUCGACCAUUCAAGCCCUGGUUGCUUGGUGUUGGGAGCUUGUCCUCGGACAACUCCUCAAAAGCAUUGGCGGAGUCGCGGUGGCCCCAAGCGUAGUAAUUCUUCUCGCUUCCGGUGUGUCACGGCUGGCGUCUGGCCGUUAAACCCCCCCAUUUUUCAGUGGUUUGACCUCGGAUCAGGUAGGAAUACCCGCUGAACUUAA
RNAcentral lists this unclassified non-coding RNA (254 nucleotides) under uncultured fungus. RNAcentral describes it as "partial contains 5.8S ribosomal RNA, internal transcribed spacer 2, and large subunit ribosomal RNA". The record is from RNAcentral. RNAcentral also lists the same sequence under 1 other name. Lineage: Eukaryota; Fungi.